This 96-nucleotide non-coding RNA is filed under the name Thalassionema nitzschioides. Lineage: Eukaryota; Bacillariophyta; Fragilariophyceae; Thalassionematales; Thalassionemataceae. The record is from RNAcentral.
CUCUGGGGACAAGGGGGCGUAUGCUGCAAGGCGCUCUAGUGUAUACGAAUCUUCUAUUGGGGAUAAUGAAGAUCAAUUGCUUUCCGAUGUAGAUGA